This 76-nucleotide transfer RNA is filed under the name Paramuricea clavata. It matches the Rfam family "tRNA". Rfam says of the family: Transfer RNA (tRNA) molecules are approximately 80 nucleotides in length. Their secondary structure includes four short double-helical elements and three loops (D, anti-codon, and T loops). Further hydrogen bonds mediate the characteristic L-shaped molecular structure. tRNAs have two regions of fundamental functional importance: the anti-codon, which is responsible for specific mRNA codon recognition, and the 3' end, to which the tRNAs corresponding amino acid is attached (by aminoacyl-tRNA synthetases). tRNAs cope with the degeneracy of the genetic code in two manners: having more than one tRNA (with a specific anti-codon) for a particular amino acid; and 'wobble' base-pairing, i.e. permitting non-standard base-pairing at the 3rd anti-codon position. Lineage: Eukaryota; Metazoa; Cnidaria; Anthozoa; Malacalcyonacea; Plexauridae. The record is from Rfam by way of RNAcentral.
GACCGCGUAGCUCAGUUGGCAGAGCAUUGGGCUAUAAGUAUUUCAAAGGUCGUAGGUUCGAUUCCCACUGUGGUCA